AUGCUCUCUUUGGCAGCACAUAUACCAAAAUUGGAACGAUACAGAGAAGAUUAGCAUGGCCCCUGCACAAGGAUGACACGUAAAAAAAUAAAUAAAAAGAUGGA
Molecule: small nuclear RNA, 104 nt
Filed under: Castor canadensis (American beaver)
Lineage: Eukaryota; Metazoa; Chordata; Mammalia; Rodentia; Castoridae
Source: RNAcentral